UUGACACCUGUGGGGAAUACUUACAUGACUAAAGAUUAGCAUGAGUGUAAAUGUUUUCAGGAUUUAUGCCAAUGUUUGCAAAUAAAUUUGCUUACUUAGUUGACUUAAAAUUCUCUUACUCUCUCCUCCAGUGGUUACAUUUGAGAUUUUAUCAGAUGAUUACUCAAAGAUUGUCUUCUUGCAGUGUGGCAGGUUUGUGGAGUUUCAUUCACAACAUGGCCAUUACUACAGGACAAGAAUACCAAAAUUUGGUAGAGAUUUCUCUUAUCACUAUCCAUCUUGUGACCUGUACUUUGUAGGAGCAAGUUCUGAAGUAUACAGGCUAAAUCUGGAACAAGGAAGAUUUCUGAACUCCCUGCAAACUGAAGCUUCGUAAGUUAUCUGUAAUGCAUGACAUCUAUCUGUCUUCUUUCCACCAGGUGGAAGCAGACUACUAGCAUGCUCACCAUCAGUACU
Molecule: long non-coding RNA, 456 nt
Filed under: Manacus vitellinus (golden-collared manakin)
Lineage: Eukaryota; Metazoa; Chordata; Aves; Passeriformes; Pipridae
Description: lncRNA (ENSMVIG00005003377.1)
Source: RNAcentral